This is a long non-coding RNA of Ictalurus punctatus (channel catfish), 1021 nucleotides long. The record is from Ensembl. Lineage: Eukaryota; Metazoa; Chordata; Actinopteri; Siluriformes; Ictaluridae.
GGAAAAUGCAAUGAAACUUUAUAGGUCUGCGAGAUGAUUGCUUAUGAGUGACCAAUCACUUAACAAGAUGUGGUUCCAAAUGUAGCAAAUAACACCAGAACUGGCUAAAACAUUGGUACUUGUGGAUUUUGCUUUUCAAGGCAGAUUAUCAAGGGGAAUGUUAUAAUAGUUGAGAGAGGCCAACUAUUGUCAAAAUGUCAGGCUUACCCAACUUCCAAAAAACCAGUAGUUAUGUAAGCUAUUUUUGUCAAGCUAUUAAGAACAUUAGCCCUUGCUAGCAGGAAGCAUGCUAACAUCUUAUUUGGCUAACUGCUCAAAACUUGUCACAAAAAUCUAGCUUUGCCUCUUUGUCCAAAUAUAUCAGGGCAUUGACCACAUAGGAGGAAUAUGAAGUACAUUCCUGUACCGUUAAUAUUUUGUGAUUUCUGCCUUAGAGGGACUUUCUGUGAUGUCUAACAAGGUUGGAAACUCUUGUAGAGUGAUCUUGGUCCACUCCUCCAUGUAAAACAUUCUGACCCAUGGUCCACUAACAGACGAAAGCCAGGAGGGCAGGACCGGUCCACACAGAGAGUGUGCACUACUGCUGAGCAUGGACUUCCUGCCUUCUCUGGAAAAAAUGGAAAAUGUGUGUGCUUGUGCAUGUGUGUGGUAUUAUCAUGGACAUGGUUAUGUGUCCCAGUGUAAGACAGGCUAAAAUAGUUAAUGUGUGUGUAUGUGAGACAGUGCGUGGGGGCCACAGCUGUGGCCAUUUCUCUGGUGACCCUAUAGCCCUCUGUCCCCUAAGCUGGCUUUCGCCUUACAGCUGCUGCUCUGCACCUGAAGGAACAUGCACACACACACACAUGCUUAGGAUUCAUGAAUGCAUGUGUGUAUGUGUGUGUGUGUGUACACCAUUCCCAUGAUAACAUUCCUUAGCCUCCUUUAUUGAAUCAGAACUUCCACUGUCCAGAGACAAAAGCAAAUGUUGCAACAGUUUGUACCAAUUCAGCAAAUUGUGUCAAGAUGAGAAUUCUUAGUUCCC